CUUAAAUAAAUCUUAACUAAGUUUUAAUUUAAUCCUAGUUGAAACCAUGAUACUCGUCAUUCAAAUCCUAGAUAAAUCUUGAACCUUAAACCAAACUUUGACAAAAUCUAAAAUCCUAAAUCAAAUCCUAACCAAAUUCUAAAUCCUAAAUCAAAUCCUAGACAAACCUUGACAAAAUCCUAAACCCUAAACCAAAUCCUAACCAAAUUCUAACCAAAUCCUAAAACCUAAUCAAAUCCUAAACCCUAAACUAAAUCCUAAGUUAGUUUAGAACCUCGAUAUCUUUUAAUUAAAUCAUUGAUCUUAUCUAAAGUUUUAUACACCUCCAAAUCUCUUAGUAACAACUAAGUAUAACAAAUUUGAGGACAAUUGUACUUACCAAAUAGAAGAAAAAUCCUAAAAUCUACUCAGAUAUUGGUUGGCCUCCUUCUCUAAUCUUGAUGUUGAUCUUCUA
RNAcentral lists this long non-coding RNA (454 nucleotides) under Physcomitrium patens. Its description in RNAcentral is "long non-coding RNA (PPAT_LNC007375)". The record is from RNAcentral. Lineage: Eukaryota; Viridiplantae; Streptophyta; Bryopsida; Funariales; Funariaceae.